AUUAAAGUACUCAUAUUUUUACACAUAACUGACUUUUAUGAUUAUAAUGGGCAAUUUCAUUUUGUGCUCCGUAUAGGUCCAAAGCAAAAUUUUCCCAUCUUUCAUGUGGCAAAGAAAGUAAACAGAUAUUAGACAAUUUAAUUUAUUUGACAGUUAUUAGUACAAACUAAAUUCAGUAGUCUUCAGUUUUAUUCUGUCUUCCACUAAUGUGUGAUCAGUAGUCAGUAAGAGAUGAAAUCCUUUUUACUUGGAACUAUCUUUUGAAAGGAGUCAAGAUCCAUCUCUUAUCCCUAGAGGGGGCUCCCUUGAAAAUUACUAUUAGUUAUCUAAGCACUGAUUUCUGUGUGUGUAAGUAGGUGUGUAUUAUUUACUCAAAUCUAUUAUUCUGUGUUAUGAGGACACCCCUGCUGUGUGUUUAUGACUUGUGGUCUUAUUUAGCAUUUGCAUAGCAAUUUCAUUUUAACAAAAGUCUGCUACAAUCAUUUUUAUUAGGUAUUCCUCACAGCACCCUGGUGGAAUAGAACAGCAUUUUUGUACUUAUUUUUUAGAUGAAGGACAGACUCAAGCAGCUUGGAAGAAUAACAAUUUUUUUAUUGAUCUACUUGGAAUUAAGAAAUGUGACUUCUGGUCUCAUUGUUUCACCAGAGGAGCUCACGGAAGAGCUGGGAGGAUUUGCGUUAAUAAAGAGCCCACGAGAGGCUGUAUAUAUACAACAUGACUCAAUACUGAUUUCUGUUACCUCAGUUUUCUUGGCCAUGGCUAAACAGUAAGUAAAGAUUGUUUUAUGAGGUGGUUUGGGGAUCCAGAAAGUAUCUAAAAAGAUACAAUAGAAAAUUCUUUAAUUCAAUGUAUUAUAAGACUCAUGUUUCAUAAUACUGAAGAAUCUGGAAACAGCAAUUAUAUACUUUUUUUGCCUUUUUCUGAACUAAAGCCAUCAGUUUGUUUUCAUCAUCAAAUUUACCUGAUAAUUUGACUUUAAUAUGAAUCACCAAAAUAUGCUCUUUGCCUGUGUGCUGCUUGAGAUAUUAUGACAAACGUACACGUUGAUACACAGGGUAUGAUGCUUUGUGGCAUGAUUAAUAAUAUAAAUAAAAU
Molecule: long non-coding RNA, 1095 nt
Filed under: Oryctolagus cuniculus (rabbit)
Lineage: Eukaryota; Metazoa; Chordata; Mammalia; Lagomorpha; Leporidae
Description: lncRNA (ENSOCUG00000034957.1)
Source: RNAcentral